RNAcentral lists this small nucleolar RNA (60 nucleotides) under Erinaceus europaeus (western European hedgehog). RNAcentral's name for it is "Small nucleolar RNA SNORD75 (ENSEEUG00000019639.1)". Lineage: Eukaryota; Metazoa; Chordata; Mammalia; Eulipotyphla; Erinaceidae. The record is from RNAcentral.
AGCCUAUGGUGGUUUAAGAGUAGUGGACAGAAAAGAUUUCUGAAAAAAAAAAUCCAAACU